CUCUGUUCUAGCUCCAAGGUGAAUCUUCACUGCUCAUGUUCUCCUCAGAAGCACUCACCUCACUCCCCUCAGGUUACUGUACACAUGCACCAACUGCCUGCUUCAGGUUUGGAUGGAGCUUCAUGGUUGUCUUUUGGAGAAAUGACCAGUCAAGUUGUGUUUGAAAUUUGAUUUUUUUCAGGGGCAAAAGGAGCCUCUGCAUUCUUGUCAAAUAUGUAAAUAGCAUGUUUUUGCAGGUGCUAAAAACCAGACUCUGAGUGUGUGUGUGUGUGUGUGUGUGUGUGUGUGUGUGUGUGUGCGUGUGUGUGUGUCUGUGUGUGCGUUCAAGUCACAUGACAUAUUUAACCGGAUGUAGCUGCAAGACGGAGCCUCGUUGACUCUCCGUUUCAACUUAUCUCAAAAGUGAGGACCUCAACCUAUAUACCAGUUUUUAAAUUGUGUUGAUAGGCCAAAUAAAACCAGAGUUAUGAUAAAUUAUGUCCGCGAUACUUUUUUUCUGCUUAUUUUGAUCACGUUCGGCGCUCGCUCGCGCUGUAUGAGACAGGAAAACAUAGCAUGCAGACAUUAGCGACAGGUCUUACAGGCGGAAAAGGCUUGCCAAAAGAAAAAAAAAACACACCACAACAUCUCUCCUAUUGGUGGAAAACUUCACCACAACAACCAAUCCAAAAUUAUAUGGUGACUGAUUGACAAGGGGCUGGCGCUUACGUUCUUCCUGCAACAUGAGAAGCGAGGGAGGGACUCUCAGCAGGGAUGCAGUCUGGGACACGUAGUUGCAAACCUAGCGACUUUGUUGUUAGAUUCAAUGACUUUUCAGACCCCCUAACGACUUUUUUUUAGAAAGAAAGGGACUUUUAUCGACUUCUUCUGGAGAUUAGAGACUCUGACAUGAAGCAGGCUUUCCUUACUGAGGAGUUAGCAACGCUGCUAAGGGUGCAGAGCCACACAUGCGCUCAGAGCUCUGCAUGGGAGACUGAAGCUGACAGAGCUGCAGCAGUUAGCAGGUUUCACCCUCAGAGACCACCAGGGGUUCAUGUUGAGGCAUUUAAAUUUUUUUUUUUUUUGUGCCAUAGACACUGUCAGCACAAUCUGCAGUUACACUAACAAAAAUGCUGCAAAAAACAAAGAAUUAUGGAAAAAUUACACAUGGACUGACAUAGAGGAGGAUCUACACAAGUUUUUUACAUCAUGUUUUACAUCAUGCAUCAUUUACAUCAUGUUUUUUUGUAGUGGCAUAAAUAAAAAGUGACAUUUGUGAGACUAUACAGUGUUUUGUAAAUAAUUUUACAAAGAACGCCUGGGCCAUUGCCUGCAUUUUGAUGUAAAUAGAGGUAAAUCACUAUGUUCUUUGUUAAAAAUUUGCAUAUGUUUUGAAGUUUACAAUUUUUAUUUGAAGUCUAAGUUUUAAAAACAGUUCAUCACACAUAUUUGUGGUUUUCACAGUAAAAAUGUUACUUUUUUCCACUCGGAUUUUAUGUUUUGUGUGUGAAUUUGGGUCCAUUGUGUAAAUUCAGUAUGUCAACAUGAUAAAAUAACUGUAAAUUCGCACAGGUGAGGUUGGGCUGAAAAAAAUGAUACCAGGCAAGGCACGUGAUUGUCAAAUUUUGUGUCAAUAUGACAAAGCGUAUAGGCGUGAAUCUCAACAAUAUGUAUUUUCACCUUAGGGGACAAGAAAAAAUGGACUUUUUUCUCCUGCCAUGGGGGGCGCUCUUUUGGGGAGUAAAAAUUCCUUCACAAAUGUGUUGAUGGCUGGACAUUGCAUCAUCCUAGAAAACUUGGAGGCCAGUGAGGACAAAAAUAAAAAGUUAUAAGACUUUUAAAUAUGUGGAUUUUAGGGUUAUCUUUGGCGCCCCCUAGAACCUAAACCGUGGGGUGCAGCGUCAUGAUUUGAAUAACUUUUAAUGGCCAUGGGGUGUAGAUUGGCCUGAGCAAAUGUGGUGCCGGUGGAACGAAAGCCUUAGAGGAGUUAGCCACAUUCCAAUGUGUGCGGAUCGGCAAAAAAUGCGGAAUAACCCUUUAACCGUACAUUUGACAGAUACGCACGCAUUGACUUUUUCGUAGAUCUUAUUGAGUUACAUGUGUGUGUCAAUUUUUGUGUAAUUUUGACAAAGCGUAUAGGCGUGACACUCAACAAUGUGUAUUUUCACCUUAGGGGACAAGAAAAAAUGGACUUUUUUCUCCUGCCAUGGGGGGGCGCUCUUUUGGUGAGUAAAAAUUCCUUCACAAAUGUGUUGAUGGCUGGACAUUGCAUCAUCCUAGAAAACUUGGAGGCCAGUGAGGACAAAAAUAAAAAGUUAUAAGACUUUUAAAUAUGUGGAUUUUAGUGUUAUCUUUGGCGCCCCCUAGAACCUAAACCUUGGGGUGCAGCGUCAUGAUUUUGAUAACUUUUAAUGGCCACGGGGUGUAGAUUGGCCUGAGCAAAUGUGGUGCCGGUGGAACGAAAGCCUUCGGAGGAGUUAGCGAAAUUCCAAUGUGUGCGGAUCGGCAAAAAAUGCGAAAUAACCCUUUAACCGUAAUUUUGACAGAUACGGCCGCACUGACUUUUUUGUAGAUCUUAUUGAGAUACAUAUGUGUGUCAAUUUUUGUGUCAAUAUGACAAAGCGUACAGGCGUGACAGUCAAUAGUGUGAAUUUCCACCUUAGGGGGCGCUAUGGAGCCAUUUUGCAUUUUAUUGUUUGGGCGACUUCAGAAUAUCGAAUUUUUCACCAGGCCCAGUCGUCCUGCCAAAUUUCAUGAGUUUUCGCCAGUGGGAAGAGGGCCAUUUUCCAGUUCAAAGGGGAGGAAAAAGAAGAAAGAAAGAAAGAACUAGGGCCCCGGUGGGGCACUGUCGGGCCCGAGCCGCGUCGCGCCGCCCCCAGCGUGACCGCCUCCCCCUCCCAAUCGCGUCACACUCAAGGUCCAAAGAUGGUGUGCGCACUUGUCUGUAGUCAUUUCCCAUUAUAAUGAAUGGGAGGCGCAGUUUCUACCAAAACACUCGCUGCAGACAAACUUCAUGUCCUAUUUGAAAAAAGUCUGGACCAUGAGUGAGGGCACAAACACAGCUGGGAUAUAUAUCCAAAUGGCAGGUUGCUCCUCCUUACGGUUUUGCCUGGAGAGCGAUGCGAUUGAGCCAUUGAGCGAUGGGCAGGAAAAACUUGACUUUUGCUCGUGCCAUGGGGGGGGGGAAUGUGGAUUCUUUUAAGAAUGUGGAUUUUUGGGUCAUCUUUGGCGCCCCCUAGAACGUAAACCGUGGGGUGCAGCGUCAUGAUUUUUACAACUUUGAAUGGUCAUGGGGUGUAGAUUGGCCUGAGCAAAUUUGGUUUCAGUGGGACGAAAGCCUUAGGAGGAGUUAGCCACAUUCCAAUGUGUGCGAAUCGGCAAAAAAUAAAAAAUAGCCCUCUAACCGUACAUUUGACAGAUACGCAUGCAUUGACUUUUUCGUAGAUCUUAUUGAGAUACACGUGAUUGUCAAAUUUUGUGUCAAUAUGACAAAGCGUACAGGUGUCACACUCAACAAUGUGAAUUUUCACCUUACGGGACAAGAAAAAAUUGACUUUUUUCUCCUGCCAUGGGGGGGGCGCUCUUUUGGGGAGUAAAAGUUCCUUCACAAAUGUGUUGAUGGCUGGACAUUGCAUCAUCCUAGAAAACUUGGAGGCCAGUGAGGACAAAAAUAAAAAGUUAUAAGACUUUGAAAUAUGUGGAUUUUAGGGUUAUCUUUGGCGCCCCCUAGAACCUAAACCGUGGGGUGCAGCGUCAUGAUUUGAAUAACUUUUAAUGGCCAUGGGGUGUAGAUUGGCCUGAGCAAAUGUGGUGCCGGUGGAACGAAAGCCUUCGGAGGAGUUAGCGAAAUUCCAAUGUGUGCGGAUCGGCAAAAAAUGCGGAAUAACCCUUUAACCGUACAUUUGACAGAUAUGCGCGCAUUGACUUUUUCGUAGAUCUUAUUGAGAUACACGUGUGUGUCAAUUUUUGUGUCAUUUUGCCAAAGCGUACAGGCGUGACACUCAACAAUGUGUAUUUUCACCUUAGGGGUCAAGAAAAAAUGGACUUUUUUCUCCUGCCAUGGGGGGGCGCUCUUUUGGGGAGUAAAAAUUCCUUCACAGAUGUGUUGAUGGCUGGACAUUGCAUCAUCCUAGAAAACUUGGAGGCCAGUGAGGACAAAAAUAAAAAGUUAUAAGACUUUUAAAUAUGUGGAUUUUAGGGUUAUUUUUGGCGCCCCCUAGAACAUAAACCGUGGGGUGCAGCAUCAUGAUUUGAAUAACUUUGAAUGGCCAUGGGGUGUAGAUUGGCCUGAGCAAAUGUGGUGCCGGUGGAACUAAAGCCUUCGGAGGAGUUAGCGAAAUUCCAAUGUGUGCAGAUCUGCAAAAAAUGCAAAAUAACCCAUUAACCGUACAUUUGACAGAUACGCCCGCACUGACUUUUUUGUAGAUCUUAUUGAGAUACAUGUGUGUGUCAAUUUUUGUGUCAAUAUGACAAAGCGUACAGCCGUCAUGUGAAUUUUCACCUUAGGGGGCGCUAUGGAGCCAUUUUGCAUUUUAUUGUUUGGGCGACUUCGGAAUAUCAAAUUUUUCACCAGGCCCGGUCGUCUUGCCAAAUUUCAUGAGUUUUCGCCAGUGGGAAGUGGGCCAUUUUCCAGUUCAAAGGGGAGGAAAAAGAAAAAAGAAACAAAGAAAACUAGGGCCCCGUUGGGGCACUGGCGGGCCCGAGCCGUGUCGCGCUGCCCCCCCCAACGCGCUGCCUCCCCGUCCCAUUCGCGUCCUCUCUGGUAACGCCCAUCACUGCAAAGACCCUUUCCUUCAUCGGCGUUUGCUGUUGUUCCUGCCAGUGCGUGUUGCUUUCACUUACACUUGCCACAGCCAGCCUCGUGAGUGCCUAGCCUAUUGGAUAUCACUGUCAUCUACACAGGACAGUCAUAACCUUUCUAUUAAUACUUUGUUUUUUAAUUUCACAUUAAUUUCCAUAUUGUAUAAAUGACUGGAAAAAACUUGAGCCCCUGCCCCUGUAUAAUCAUGUGCACGUCCCUGUUCUAGCUCCAAGGUGAAUCUUCACUGCUCAUGUUCUCCUCAGAAAUAGUCACCUCACUCCCCUCAGGUUACUGUACACAUGCACCAACUAUCUGCUUCAGGUUUGGAUGGAGCUUCAUGGUUGUCUUUUGGAGAAAUGACCAGUCAAGUUGUGUUUGAAAUUUGAUUUUUUUCAGGGGCAAAAGGAAGCCUCUGCAUUCUUGUCAAAUAUGUAAACAGCAUGUUUUUGCAGGUGCUAAAAAACAGACUCUGAGUGUGUGUGUGUGUGUGUGUGUGUGUGUGUGUGUGUGUGUGUGUGUGUGUGUGUGUGUGUGUGUGUUGGCGUGUGUGUAUAUGUGUGUGUAUCCUGCAGUACUCUGUACUCCUGCAGUGGCCAAAAAGACUUUUAAGAAUGUGGAUUUUUGGGUCAUCUUUGGCGCCCCCUAGAACUGCAGUACUCUGUACUCCUGCAGUGGCCAAAAUGACUUGUAAGAAUGUGGAUUUUUGGGUCAUCUUUGGCGCCCCCUAGAACUGCAGUACUCUGUACUCCUGCAGUGGCCAAAAGGACUUUUAAGAAUGUGGAUUUUUGGGUCAUCUUUGGCGCCCCCUAGAACGUAAACCGUGGGGUGCAGCGUCAUGAUUUUUACAACUUUGAAUGGGCAUGGGGUGUAGAAUGCCCUGAGCAAAUUUGGUAUCAGUGGGACGAAAGCCUUAGGAGGAGAUAGCCACAUUCCAAUGUGUGCGAAUCGGCAAAAAAUGCGAAAUAGCCCUUUAACCGUACAUUAUACAGAUACGCGCUCUUUGACUUUUUCGUAGAGCUAAUUGAGAUACACAUGAUUGUCAAUUUUUGUGUCAAUAUGACAAAGCGUUCAGGCGUGACACUCAACAAUGUGUAUUUUCAUGUAAGGGGACAAGAAAAAAUUGACUUUUUUCUCCUGCCAUGGGGGGGCGCUCUUUUGGGGAGUAAAAAUUCCUUCACAAAUGUGUUGAUGGCUGGACAUUGCAUCAUCCUAGAAAACUUGGAGGCCAGUGAGGACAAAAAUAAAAAGUUAUAAGACUUUUAAGAAUGUGGAUUUUUGGGUUAUCUUUGGCGCCCCCUAGAACCUAAACCGUGGGGUGCAGCGUCAUGAUUUGUACAACUUUGAAUGGCCAUGGGGUGUAGACUGGCCUGAGCAAAUGUGGUGCCGGUGGAACGAAAGCCUUCGGAGGAGUUAGCGAAAUUCCAAUGUGUGCGGAUCGGCAAAAAAUGCGAAAUAACCCUUUAACCGUACAUUUGACAGAUACGCCCGCACUGACUUUUUUGUAGAUCUUAUUGAGAUACAUAUGUGUGUCAAUUUUUGUGUCAAUAUGACAAAACGUACAGACGUGACAGUCAAUAGUGUGAAUUUCCACCUUAGGGGGCGCUAUGGAGCCAUUUUGCAUUUUAUUGUUUGGGCGACUUCAGAAUAUCGAAUUUUUCACCAGGCCCGGUCGUCCUGCCAAAUUUCAUGAGUUUUCGCCAGUGGGAAGUGGGCCAUUUUCCAGUUUAAAGCGGAGGAAAAAUAAUAAUAAUAAUAACUAGGGCCCCGUUGGGGCACUGGCGGGCCCGAGCCGUGUCGCGCUGCCCCCCCCAACGCGCUGCCUCCUUGUCCCAUUCGCGUCCUCUGGCCAUCGCCCUCUCUGGUAACGCCCAUCACUGCAAAGACUCUUUCCUUCAUCGGCGUUUGCUGUUCUUCCUGCCAGUGCGUGUUGCUUUCACUUACACUUGCCACAGCCAGCCUCGUGAGUGCCUAGCCUAUUGGAUAUCACUGUCAUCUACACAGGACAGUCAUAACCUUUCUAUUAAUACUUGUUUUUUAAUUUCACAUUAAUUUCAAUAUUGUAUAAAUGACUGGAAAAAACUUGAGCCCCUGCCCCUGUAUAAUCAUGUGCACGUCCCUGUUCUAGCUCCAAGGUGAAUCUUCACUGCUCAUGUUCUCCUCAGAAGUAGUCACCUCACUUUCCUCAGGUGACUGUACACAUGCACCAACUGCCUGCUUCAGGUUUGGAUGGAGCUUCAUGGUUGUCUUUUGGAGAAAUGAGCAGUCAAGUUGUGUUUGAAAUUUGAUUUUUUUCAGGGGCAAAAAGGGGCCUCUGCAUUCUAGUCAAAUAUGUAAAUAGCAUGUUUUUGCAGGUGCUAAAAAAAAGACUCUGAGUGUGUGUGUGUGUAUAUCCUGCAGUACUCUGAGAAGAAUAAUAAGCAUAUUUCUGAGGUGAAUUUUGAAGAUUCAUCUGAGAGUUAGGAGGGCUGAUCAUUCCCUUACCCUUUAGAUGUCUGUCUAUGUCUGUUUUUGUGUGAUAAUGAAAGAAUCCCAACUCAAAAAGGCUCUGUUGAUGUUUUUUUUUUGUUGUUGUUCAUUCAUAUUCAAACCACUAUUUUAUAUCACUGCUAAUACGCCAAGACCAUUUUAUGGAAUUUAGCUUUAUUAUUUCUAUACAUUUUGCAAGGAAAGAAACCAAGGCCUUCACUAAAAUUUCCAUAAACUUUAGGAAAGGACCUCUGGUUGUUUAACGGGGUCAUUACUGCAAAAACAUAUUCUUCCUAAAUUUUGAAGGUCAAACCUUAGAUCCAUUAGGUUUAAAUAGAAAAAGCAUUAAAAUAUGUUAGGAUUAUAGCAUAUGACAAAUAUGUGCCUUUCAGUGGCCACAACUACUUUGUCUGCUGGCUCUGCAGUCGAUUGACGCUCCCCAGCAUUCAAGUCACAUUACAUAUUUAACCGGAUGUAGCAGCAAGACGGAGCCUCGUUGACUCUCCGUUUCAACUUAUCUCAAAAGUGAGGACCUCAAACUAUACACCAGUUUUCAAAUUGUGUUGAUAGGCCAAAUAAAACCAGAGUUAUGAUAAAUUAUGUCCGCGAUACUUUUUUUCUGCUUAUUUUGAUCACGUUCGGCGCUCGAUCGCGCUGUAUGAGACAGGAAAACAUAGCAUGCAGACAUUAGCGACAGGUCUUACAGGCGGAAAAGGCUUGCCAAAGAAAAAAAAAAACACACCACAACAUCUCUCCUAUUGGUGGAAAACUUCACCACAACAACCAAUCCAAAAUUAUAUGGUGACUGAUUGACAAAGGGGCGGGCGCUUACGUUCUUCCUGCAACAUGAGAAGGGAGGGAGGAACUCUCAGCAGGGAUGCAGUCUGGGACACGUAGUUGCAAACCUAGCGACUUUGUUGUUAGAUUCAAUGACUUUUCAGACCCCCUAACGACUUUUUUUUAGAAAGAAAGGGACUUUUAUCGACUUCUUCUGGAGUUUAGAGACUCUGACAUGAAGCAGGCUUUCCUUACUGAGGAGUUAGCAACGCUGCUAAGGGUGCAGAGCCACACAUGCGCUCCGAGCUCUGCAUGGGAGACUAAAGCUGACAGAGCUGCAGCAGUUAGCAGGUUUCACCCUCAGAGACCACCAGGGGUUCAUGUUGAGGCAUUUUCAGUUUUUUUUUUUUUUUGCCAUAGACACUGUCAGCACAAUCUGCAGUUACACUAACAAAAAUGCUGCAAAAAACAAAGAAUUAUGGAAAAAUUACACAUGGACUGACAUAGAGGAGGAUCUACACAAGUUUUUUGCAUCAUGUUUUACAUCAUGCAUCAUUUACAUCAUGUUUUUUUGUAGUGGCAUAAAUAAAAAUUGACAUUUGUGAGACUAUACAGUGUUUUGUAAAUAAUUUUACAAAGAACGCCUGGGCCAUUGCCUGCAUUUUGAUGUAAAUAGAGGUAAAUUACUAUGUUCUUUGUUAAAAAUUUGCAUAUGUUUUGAAGUUUACAAUUUUUAUUUGAAGUUUAAGUUUUAAAAACAGUUCAUCACACAUAUUUGUGGUUUAAUUUCACAUUAAUUUCCAUAUUGUAUAAAUGACUGGAAAAAACUUGAGCCCCUGCCCCUGUAUAAUCAUUUGCACGUCCCUGUUCUAGCUCCAAGGUGAAUCUUCACUGCUCAUGUUCUCCUCAGAAAUAGUCACCUCACUCCCCUCAGGUUACUGUACACAUGCACCAACUAUCUGCUUCAGGUUUGAAAUGGAGCUUCAUGGUUGUCUUUUGGAGAAAUGAACAGUCAAGUUGUGUUUGAAAUUUGAUUUUUUUCAGGGGCAAAAGGAAGCCUCUGCAUUCUUGUCAAAUAUGUAAACAGCAUGUUUUUGCAGGUGCUAAAAAACAGACUCUGAGUGUGUGUGUGUGUCUGUGUGUGUGUGUGUGUGUGUGUGUGUAUGUUGGUGUGUGUGUAUAUGUGUGUGUAUCCUGCAGUACUCUGUACUCCUGCAGUGGCCAAAAUGACUUUUAAGAAUGUGGAUUUUUUUGGUCAUCUUUGGCGCCCCCUAGAACGUAAACUGUGGGGUGCAGCGUCAUGAUUUUUACAACUUUGAAUGGGCAUGGGGUGUAGAUUGCCCUGAGCAAAUUUGGUAUCGGUGGGACGAAAGCCUUAGGAGGAGAUAGCCACAUUCCAAUGUGUGCGAAUCGGCAAAAAAUGCAAAAUAGCCCUUUAACCGUACAUUAUACAGAUACGCGCUCUUUGACUUUUUCGUAGAUCUUAUUGAGACACACCUGUGUGCCAAAUUUUGUGUCAUUUUGACAAAGUGUAGAGGCGUGACACUCAACAAUGUGUAUUUUCACCUUAGGGGACAAGAAAAAAUGGACUUUUUUCUCCUGCCAUGGGGGGGCGCUCUUUUGGGGAGUAAAAAUUCCUUCACAAAUGUGUUGAUGGCUGGACAUUGCAUCAUCCUAGAAAACUUGGAGGCCAGUGAGGACAAAAAUAAAAAGUUAUAAGACUUUUAAAUAUGUGGAUUUUAGGGUUAUCUUUGGCGCCCCCUAGAACCUAAACCGUGGGGUGCAGCGUCAUGAUUUGAAUAACUUUUAAUGGCCAUGGGGUGCAGAUUGGCCUGAGCAAAUGUGGUGCCGGUGGAACAAAAGCCUUCGGAGGAGUUAGCGAAAUUCCAAUGUGUACGGAUCGCCAAAAAAUGCGAAAUAGCCCUUUAACCGUACAUUUGACAGAUACGGCCGCACUGACUUUUUUGUAGAUCUUAUUGAGAUACAUAUGUGUGUCAAAUUUUGUGUCAUUUUGACAAAGCGUACAGGCGUGACAGUCAAUACUGUGAAUUUCCACCUUAGGGGGCGCUAUGGAGCCAUUUUGCAUUUUAUUGUUUGGGCGACUUCAGAAUAUCAAAUUUUUCACCAGGCCCGGUCGUCCUGCCAAAUUUCAUGAGUUUUCGCCAGUGGGAAGUGGGCCAUUUUCCAGUUUAAAGGGGAGGAAAAAUAAUAAUAAUAACACUAGGGCCCCGGUGGGGCACUGUAGGGCCCGAGCCGCGUCGCGCCGCCCCCAGCGCGACCGCCUCCCCCUCCCGAUCGCAUCACACUCAAGGUCCAAAGAUGGUGUGCGCACUUGUCUGUGGUCAUUUCCCAUUAUAAUGAAUGGGAGGCGCAGUUUCUACCAAAACGCUCGCUGCAGACAAACUACAUGUCCUAUUUGAAAAAAGUCUGGACCAUGAGUGAGGGCACAAACACAGCUAGGAUAUAUCCAAACGGCAAGUUGCUCCUCCUUACGGUGUUGCCAGGAGAGCGAUGCGAUUGAGCCAUUGAGCGAUGGGCAGGGUUAACUGGACUUUUUCUCCUGCCUUGGGGGGGGGGGGAUGUGGAUUCUUUUAAGAAUGUGGAUAUUUGGGUCAUCUUUGGCGCCCCCUAGAACGUAAACCAUGGGGUGCAGCGGCAUGAUUUUUACAACUUUGAAUGGCCAUGGGAUGUAGAUCGGCUUGAGCAAAUUUGGUGUCGGUGGGAAGAAAGCCUUAGGAGGAGUUAGCCACAUUCCAAUGUGUGCGAAUCGGCAAAAAAUGCGAAAUAGCCCUUUAACCGUACAUUUUACAGAUACGUGCCCAUUGACUUUUUCGUAGAUCUUAUUGAGAUACACGUGUGUGUCAAAUUUUGGGUCAAUAUGACAAAGCGUAUAGGCGUGACACUCAACAAUGUGUAUUUUCACCUUAGGGGACAAGAAAAAAUGGACUUUUUUCUCCUGCCAUGGGGGGGCGCUUUUUUCGGGAGUAAAAAUUCCUUUACAAAUGUGUUGAUGGCUGGACAUUGCAUCAUCCUAGAAAACUUGGAGGCCAGUAAGGACAAAAAUAAAAAGUUAUAAGACUAUUAAGAAUGUGGAUUUUUGGGUUAUCUUUGGCGCCCCCUAGAACCUAAACCGUGGAGUGCAGCGUCAUGAUUUGUACAACUUUCAAUGGCCAUGGGGUGUAGAUUGGCCUGAGCAAAUUUGGUGGCGGUGGAACUAAAGCCUUCGGAGGAGUUAGCGAAAUUCCAAUGUGUGCGGAUCGGGAAAAAAUGCGAAAUAACCCUUUAACCGUACAUUUUACAGAUACGUGCCCAUUGACUUUUUCGUAGAUCUUAUUGAGAUACACGUGAUUGUCAAAUUUUGGGUCAAUAUGACAAAGCGUAUAGGAGUGACACUCAACAAUGUGUAUUUUCACCUUAGGGGACAAGAAAAAAUGGACUUUUUUCUCCUGCCAUGUGGGGGCGCUCUUUUGGGGAGUAAAAAUUCCUUCACAAAUGUGUUGAUGGCUGGACAUUGCAUCAUCCUAGAGAACUUGGAGGCCAGUGAGGACAAAAAUAAAAAGUUAUAAGACUUUUAAGAAUGUGGAUUUUUUGGUUAUCUUUGGCGCCCCCUAGAACCUAAACCGUAGGGUGCAGCGUCAUGAUUUGUACAACUUUCGAUGGCCAUGGGGUGUAGAUUGGCCUGAGCAAAUGUGGUGCCGGUGGAACGAAAGCCUUCGGAGGAGUUAGCGAAAUUUCAAUGUGUGCGGAUCGGCAAAAAAUGCGAAAUAACCCUUUAACCGUACAUUUGACAGAUACGCCCGCACUGACUUUUUUGUAGAUCUUAUUGAGAUACAUGUGUGUGUCAAUUUUUGUGUCAAUAUGACAAAGCGUACAGGCGUGACAGUCAAUAGUGUGAAUUUCCACCUUAGGGGGCGCUAUGGAGCCAUUUUGCAUUUUAUUGUUUGGGCGACUUCAGAAUAUCGAAUUUUUCACCAGGCCCGGUCGUCCUGCCAAAUUUCAUGAGUUUUCGCCAGUGGGAAGUGGGCCAUUUUCCAGUUUAAAGCGGAGGAAAAAUAAUAAUAAUAAUAACAAAAGAAGAAUCCAUCAGGAACAAGAGGGCUCUCGCAGCUGCUUAGCAGCUACGCUCGGGCCCUAAAAAGAAGGAAACAUGCAGGAACAAGAGGGCUCUCGCAGCUGCUUAGCAGCUACGCUCGGGCCCUAACAAAAGAAGAAUCCAUCAGGAACAAGAGGGCUCUCGCAGCUGCUUAGCAGCUACGCUCGGGCCCUAAAGAAAGAAAGAAACAAAGAAAAACCACUUGGGGAAUAAUAGGGCUCUCGCAGCUGCUUAGCAGCUACGCUCGGGCCCUAAGAAAGAAAGAAACAAAGAAACAAAGAAAAACCACUUGGGGAAUAAUAGGGCUCUCGCAGCUGCUUAGCAGCUACGCUCGGGCCCUAAAGAAAGAACUAGGGCCCCGGUGGGGCACUGGCGGGCCCGAGCCGUGUCGCGCCGCCCCCAGCGCGACCGCCUCCCCCUCCCUAUCGCGUCACACUCAAGGUCCUCAAGGACCACUUGUCUGUGGUCAUUUACCAUUAUAAUGAAUGGGAUGCGCAGUUUCUACCACAAUGCUUGCUGCAGACAAACUACAUGUCCUAUUUGAAAAAAGUGUGGACCAUGAGUGAGGGCACAAACACAGCUAAGAUAUAUCCAAAUGGCAAGUUGCUCCUCUUUUUGGUUUUGCCGAGAGAGCGAUGCGUUUGAGCCAUUGAGCGAUGGGCAGGAAAAACUUGACUUUUUCUCCUCCCAUGGGGGGGCGCUCUUUUGGGGAAACAUAAUUCCUUCACAAAUGUGUUGCUGGCUGGACAUUGCAUCAUCCUAGAAAACUUGGAGGCCAGUGAGGACAAAAAUAAAAAGUUAUAAGACUUUUAAAUAUGUGGAUUUUUGGGUUAUCUUUGGCGCCCCCUAGAACCUAAACCGUGGGGUGCAGCGUCAUGAUUUGAAUAACUUUUAAUGACCAUGGGGUGUAGAUUGGCCUGAGCAAAUGUGGUGCCGGUGGAACCAAAGCCUUCGGAGGAGUUAGCGAAAUUCCAAUGUGUGCAGAUCGGCAAAAAAUGCGGAAUAACCCUUUAACCGUACAUUUGACAGAUACGCGCGCAUUGACUUUUUAUAGAUCUUAUUGAGAUACAUGUGUGUGUCAAUUUUUGUGUCAUUUUGACAAAGCGUACAGGCGUGACACUCUACAAUGUGUAUUUUCACCUUAGGGGACAAGAAAAAAUGGACUUUUUUCUCCUGCCAUGGGGGGGGCGCUCUUUUGGGGAGUAAAAAUUCCUUCACAAAUGUGUUGACGGCUGGACAUUGCAUCAUCCUAGAAAACUUGGAGGCCAGUGGGGACAACAAUAAAAAGUUAUAAGACUUUUAAAUAUGUGGAUUUUACGGUUAUCUUUGGCGCCCCCUAGAACCUAAACCGUGGGGUGCAGCGUCAUGAUUUGAAUAACUUUUAAUGGCCAUGGGGUGUAGAUUGGCCUGAGCAAAUUUGGUGUCAGUGGGACAAAAGGCCAGUGAGGACAAAAAUAAAAAGUUAUAAGACUUCAAAAAAUGUGGAUAUUUGGGUCAUCUUUGGCGCCCCCUAGAACGUAAACCGUGGGGUGCAGCGUCAUGAUUUGAAUAACUUUUAAUGGCCAUGGGGUGUAGAUUGGCCUGAACAAAUGUGGUGCCGGUGGAACGAAAGCCUUAGGAGGAGUUAGCCACAUUCCAAUGUGUGCGGAUCAGCAAAAAAUGCGGAAUAACCCUUUAACCGUACAUUUGACAGAUACGCGCGCAUUGACUUUUUCGUAGAUCUUAUUGAGAUACAUGUGUGUGUCAAUUUUUGUGUCAUUUUGACAAAGCGUACAGGCGUGACACUCAACAAUGUGUAUUUUCACCUAAGGGGACAAGAAAAAAUGGACUUUUUUCUCCUGCCAUGGGGGGGGGCGCUCUUUUGAGGAGUAAAAAUUCCUUCACAAAUGUGUUGAUGGCUGGACAUUGCAUCAUCCAAGAAAACUUGGAGGCCAGUGAGGACAAAAAUAAAAAGUUAUAAGACUUUUAAGAAUGUGGAUAUUUGGGUCAUCUUUGGCGCCCCCUAGAACGUAAACCGUGGGGUGCAGCGUCAUGAUUUGAAUAACUUUUAAUGGCCAUGGGGUGUAGAUUGGCCUGAGCAAAUGUGGUGCCGGUGGAACGAAAGCCUUCGGAGGAGUUAGCGAAAUUCCAAUGUGUGCGGAUCGACAAAAAAUGCGAAAUAACCCUUUAACCGUACAUUUGACAGAUACGCGCACAUUGACUUUUUCGUAGAUCUUAUUGAGAUACAUGUGUGUGUCAAUUUUUGUGUCAUUUUGACAAAGCGUACAGGCGUGACACUCAACAAUGUGUAUUUUCACCUUAGGGGACAAGAAAAAAUGGACUUUUUUCUCCUGCCAUGGGGGGGCGCUCUUUUGGGGAGUCAAAAUUCCUUCACAAAUGUGUUGAUGGCUGGACAUUGCAUCAUCCUAGAAAACUUGGAUGCCAGUGAGGACAAAAAUAAAAAGUUAUAAGACUUUUAAAUAUGUGGAUUUUAGGGUUAUUUUUGGCGCCCCCUAGAACAUAAACCGUGGGGUGCAGCGUCAUGAUUUGAAUAACUUUUAAUGGCCAUGGGGUGUAGAUUGGCCUGAGCAAAUGUGGCGCUGGUGGAACGAAAGCCUUCGGAGGAGUUAGCGAAAUUCCAAUGUGUGCGGAUCGGCAAAAAAUGCGAAAUAACCCUUUAACCGUACAUUUGACAGAUACGCCCGCACUGACUUUUUUGUAGAUCUUAUUGAGAUACAUAUGUGUGUCAAAUUUUGUCUCAAUAUGACAAAGCGUACAGGCGUGACAGUCAAUAGUGUGAAUUUACACCUUAGGGGGCGCUAUGGAGCCAUUUUGCAUUUUCUUGUUUGGGUGACUUCGGAAUAUCAAAUUUUUAGCCAGGCCCGGUCGUCCUGCCAAAUUUCAUGAGUUUUCGCCAGUGGGAAGUGGGCCAUUUUCCAGUUCAAAGGGGAGGAAAAAGAAGAAACUAGGACCCCGUUGGGGCACUGGCGGGCCCGAGCUGUGUCGCGUCCCCCCCCCAACGCGCUGCCUCCCCGUCCCAUUUGUGUCCUCUGGCCAUCGCCCUCUCUGGUAACGCCCAUCACUGCAAAGACCCUUUUCCUUCAUCGGCGUUUGCUGUUCUUCCUGCCAGUGCUUUUUGCUUUCACUUACACUUGCCACAGCCAGCCUCGUGAGUGCCUAGCCUAUUGGAUAUUACUGUCACCUACACAGGACAGUCAUUACCUUUCUAUUAAUACUUUGUUUUUUAAUUUCACAUUAAUUUCCAUAUUGUAUAAACAACUGGAAAAAACUUGAGCCCCUGCCCCUGUAUAAUCAUGUGCACGUCUCUGUUCUAGCUCUAAGGUGAAUCUUCACUGCUCAUGUUCUCCUCAGAAGCAGUCACCUCACUCCCCUCAGGUUACUGUACACAUGCACCAACUGCCUGCUUCAGGUUUGGAUGGAGCUUCAUGGUUGUCUUUUGGAGAAAUGACCAGUCAAGUUGUGUUUGAAAUUUGAUUUUUUUCAGGGGCAAAAGGAGCCUCUGCAUUCUUGUCAAAUAUGUAAAUAGCAUGUUUUUGCAGGUGCUAAAAACCAGACUCUGAGUGUGUGUGAGGCGUGUGUGUGUGUGUCUGUGUGUGUGUGUGUGUGUGUGUGUGCGUUCAAGUCACAUGACAUAUU
Xyrichtys novacula (pearly razorfish) is the source of this 15752-nucleotide non-coding RNA. The record is from the annotation of a GenBank genome assembly. NCBI's taxonomy places the organism in Eukaryota, Metazoa, Chordata, Actinopteri, Labriformes, Labridae.